GACGAACGCUGGCGGCGUGCUUAACACAUGCAGGUCGAACGGAAAGGCCCUGCUUUUGUGGGGUGCUCGAGUGGCGAACGGGUGAGUAACACGUGAGUAACCUGCCCUUGACUUUGGGAUAACUACAGGAAACUGGGGCUAAUACCGGAUAGGAGCUCCUGCUGCAUGGUGGGGGUUGGAAAGUUUCGGCGGUUGGGGAUGGACUCGCGGCUUAUCAGCUUGUUGGUGGGGUAGUGGCUUACCAAGGCUUUGACGGGUAGCCGGCCUGAGAGGGUGACCGGCCACAUUGGGACUGAGAUACGGCCCAGACUCCUACGGGAGGCAGCAGUGGGGAAUAUUGCACAAUGGGCGGAAGCCUGAUGCAGCAACGCCGCGUGCGGGAUGACGGCCUUCGGGUUGUAAACCGCUUUCGCCUGUGACGAAGCGUGAGUGACGGUAAUGGGUAAAGAAGCACCGGCUAACUACGUG
This 468-nucleotide ribosomal RNA is filed under the name uncultured bacterium. RNAcentral describes it as "partial 16S ribosomal RNA". It matches the Rfam family "Bacterial small subunit ribosomal RNA", at positions 28 to 507 of the family's 1533-position model. The record is from RNAcentral.